RNAcentral lists this ribosomal RNA (250 nucleotides) under uncultured bacterium. RNAcentral's name for it is "partial 16S ribosomal RNA". It matches the Rfam family "Bacterial small subunit ribosomal RNA", at positions 524 to 773 of the family's 1533-position model. The record is from RNAcentral.
UACAGAGGGUGCAAGCGUUAAUCGGAAUUACUGGGCGUAAAGGGUGCGUAGGUGGUUUGGUAAGUUGGUUGUGAAAUCCCUGGGCUUAACCUAGGAAUUGCAGUCAAAACUGCCAAGCUAGAGUAGAAUAGAGGGAAGUAGAAUUUCCGGUGUAGCGGUGAAAUGCGUAGAUAUCGGAAGGAACACCAGUGGCGAAGGCGACUUCCUGGAUUCAUACUGACACUGAGGCACGAAAGCGUGGGGAGCAAAC